UGAGUAGCCUGCCCUUAACUCUGGGAUAAGCCUGGGAGACUGGGUCUAAUACCGGAUAUGACUCCUCAUCGCAUGGUGGGGGGUGGAAAGCUUUUUGUGGUUUUGGACGGACUCGCGGCCUAUCAGCUUGUUGGUGAGGUAAUGGCUCACCAAGGCGACGACGGGUAGCCGGCCUGAGAGGGUGACCGGCCACACUGGGACUGAGACACGGCCCAGACUCCUACGGGAGCAG
This 232-nucleotide ribosomal RNA is filed under the name uncultured bacterium. RNAcentral describes it as "partial 16S ribosomal RNA". It matches the Rfam family "Bacterial small subunit ribosomal RNA", at positions 118 to 347 of the family's 1533-position model. The record is from RNAcentral.